GACGAACGCUGGCGGCGUGCUUAACACAUGCAAGUCGAGCGGUAAGGCCCUUUCGGGGGUACACGAGCGGCGAACGGGUGAGUAACACGUGGGUGACCUGCCCUCAGCUCUGGGAUAAGCCUGGGAAACCGGGUCUAAUACCGGAUAUGACUCCAUGACGCAUGUUGUGGGGUGGAAAGCCUUGUGCGGCUGAGGAUGGGCCCGCGGCCUAUCAGCUUGUUGGUGGGGUGAUGGCCUACCAAGGCGACGACGGGUAGCCGGCCUGAGAGGGCGACCGGCCACACUGGGACUGAGACACGGCCCAGACUCCUACGGGAGGCAGCAGUGGGGAAUCUUGCGCAAUGGGCGAAAGCCUGACGCAGCGACGCCGCGUGAGGGAUGACGGCCUGUGUAAC
Molecule: ribosomal RNA, 395 nt
Filed under: uncultured bacterium
Lineage: Bacteria
Description: bacterial SSU rRNA
Rfam family: Bacterial small subunit ribosomal RNA
Source: RNAcentral